AACGAACGCUGGCGGCAUGCCUAACACAUGCAAGUCGAACGAGAUCUUCGGGUCUAGUGGCGCACGGGUGCGUAACGCGUGGGAAUCUGCCCUUUGGUUCGGAAUAACAGUUGGCAACGACUGCUAAUACCGGAUGAUGACGAAAGUCCAAAGAUUUAUCGCCAGAGGAUGAGCCCGCGUAGGAUUAGCUAGUUGGUGUGGUAAAGGCGCACCAAGGCGACGAGCCUUAGCUGGUCUGAGAGGAUGAUCAGCCACACUGUGACUGAGACACGGCCCAGACUCCUACGGGAGGCAGCAGUGGGGAAUAUUGGACAAUGGGCGAAAGCCUGAUCCAGCAAUGCCGCGUGAGUGAUGAAGGCCUUAGGGUUGUAAAGCUCUUUUACCCGGGAUGAUAAUGACAGUACCGGGAGAAUAAGCUCCGGCUAACUCCGUGCCAGCCGCCGCCUAAC
Molecule: ribosomal RNA, 449 nt
Filed under: uncultured bacterium
Lineage: Bacteria
Description: partial 16S ribosomal RNA
Rfam family: Bacterial small subunit ribosomal RNA
Source: RNAcentral